Long non-coding RNA from Lotus japonicus, 669 nucleotides. RefSeq lists it as uncharacterized. Lineage: Eukaryota; Viridiplantae; Streptophyta; Magnoliopsida; Fabales; Fabaceae. The record is from RefSeq and is a predicted model, not a curated record. The transcript is spliced from 2 exons.
AUGGCAUGCAUGUUCAGGAACAGAUACAUUUAGAGGUUCUUGGCUCUAUCAAAAUUGCAGAGAAUUGCUAUUGCCCGAGCUCUCCUAAAGAAUGCUCCUAUUCUCAUACUCGAUGAGGCCACGAGUGCCUUGGAUACUGUAAGUGAGCGCUUGGUACAGGAUGCUCUCAACCAUUUGAUGAAGGGGAGGACAACAUUAGUGAUAGCUCAUCGAUUAAGCACAGUUCAAAAUGCCUAUCAAAUUGCACUUUAUUCUGAUGGGAGGAUUGCAGAACAAGGCACCCACUUUGAGCUAUUGGCUAAGAAGGGCCAAUAUGCUUCACUGGUUGGCACUCAAAGGCUUGCAUUUGAGUAAAUCAUACAAAGGUGUUAAUGUUUCCAGUUACACCAAAUAGCAUUACAAGUGACAAGUAGCUGAAUCAUUUUCCACCUUGGUCAAGGUUCCAAACCCAACAAAUCAUCUUUGGUACUAGCAAGGCUAGUUUUUGCCUCAGUGAGUGUCAUCUGAUGACAAUUGGAGGUUGUAGAAGGGUAAUUAUUGGAUUGAGUAGUGUAUAAGACAGAGGGGAGAAAAAUAAAUGGUUUAACUAGCUAAUGGAUGAUUGGGACAUGUAUUGGUGUUUUGUUGUAGUUAGAAGUCCUCAUAUUAAUAAUGGAUAAUGGAUUGCAA